This 279-nucleotide ribosomal RNA is filed under the name uncultured bacterium. RNAcentral's name for it is "partial 16S ribosomal RNA". It matches the Rfam family "Bacterial small subunit ribosomal RNA", at positions 506 to 784 of the family's 1533-position model. The record is from RNAcentral.
UGCCAGCAGCCGCGGUAAGACGAAGGUGGCAACCGUUGUUCGGAAUCACUGGGCAUAAAGCGCGCGUAGGCGGACAUGUAGGUCGGGUGUGAAAUCCCUCGGCCUAACCGAGGAACUGCGCCCGAUACUGUGUGUCUUGAGGGCAGGAGGGGAUCGUGGAAUUCCUGGUGGAGCGGUGAAAUGCGUUGAUAUCAGGAGGAACACCGGCGGCGAAGGCGACGAUCUGGCCUGUUUCUGACGCUGAGGUGCGAAAGCCAGGGGAGCAAACGGGAUUAGAUA